UAGGGAAUCUUCCACAAUGGGCGAAAGCCUGAUGGAGCAACGCCGCGUGGGUGAAGAAGGGUUUCGGCUCGUAAAGCUCUGUUGUUGGAGAAGAACGUGCGUGAGAGUAACUGUUCACGCAGUGACGGUAUCCAACCAGAAAGUCACGGCUAACUACGUGCCAC
This 164-nucleotide ribosomal RNA is filed under the name uncultured bacterium. RNAcentral's name for it is "partial 16S rRNA". It matches the Rfam family "Bacterial small subunit ribosomal RNA", at positions 355 to 511 of the family's 1533-position model. The record is from RNAcentral.